AAAUCGGAACCCUAAAGGGAGCCCCCGAUUUAGAGCUUGACGGGGAAAGCCGGCGAACGUGGCGAGAAAGGAAGGGAAGAAAGCGAAAGGAGCGGGAGCCCGGAGAUGGGUACUGAGACAAGGACCUGGGCCCUAAGGGGCGCAGCAUUCGCGAAAACUCCGCAAUGCGCGAAAGCGUGACGGGGGAACCCCAAGUGCCAGCACAAUGUGUUGGCUUUUCUGGAGUGCAAAAAGCUCCAGGAAUAAGGGCUGGGUAAGACCGGUGCCAGCCGCCGCGGUAACACCGGCAGCCCGAGUGAUGUCCGCUGUUAUUGGGCUUAAAGCGUUCGUAGCCGGCCUGUUAAGUCCCCGGUCAAAUCCGACGGCUCAACCGUCGGUUAUCUGGGGAUACUGGCAGGCUUGAGGCCGGGAGAGGUCAGAGGUACUCCUGGGGUAGGGGUAAAAUCCGAUAAUCCUGGGGGGACCACCAGUGGCGAAGGCGUCUGACUGGAACGGGCCUGACGGUGAGGGACGAAACCCUGGGGAGCGAUCCGGAUUAGAUACCCGGGUAGUCCAGGGCGUAAACGAUGUGGGCUGGGUGUGGGCUAAUCAGAAGGAUUAGUCUGUGCCGAAGCGAAAGCGAUAAGUCCACCGCCUGGGGAGUACGG
RNAcentral lists this ribosomal RNA (647 nucleotides) under uncultured archaeon. RNAcentral describes it as "bacterial SSU rRNA". It matches the Rfam family "Archaeal small subunit ribosomal RNA", at positions 187 to 840 of the family's 1478-position model. The record is from RNAcentral.